GACGAACGCUGGCGGCGUGCUUAACACAUGCAAGUCGAACGGAAAGGCCCUGCUUUUGUGGGGUGCUCGAGUGGCGAACGGGUGAGUAACACGUGAGUAACCUGCCCUUGACUUUGGGAUAACUUCAGGAAACUGGGGCUAAUACCGGAUAGGAGCUCCUGCUGCAUGGUGGGGGUUGGAAAGUUUCGGCGGUUGGGGAUGGACUCGCGGCUUAUCAGCUUGUUGGUGGGGUAGUGGCUUACCAAGGCUUUGACGGGUAGCCGGCCUGAGAGGGUGACCGGCGACAUGAGGACUGAGAUAGGGCCCAGACUCCAACGGUAGGCAGCAGUGGGGAGUAUGGCACAGUAGGCGGAAGCCUGAUGCAGCAACGCCGCGUGCGGGAUGACGGCCUUCGGGUUGUAAACCGCUUUCGCCUGUGACGAGGCGGGAGUGACGGUAAUGGGUAAAGAAGCACCGGCUAACUACGUG
Molecule: ribosomal RNA, 468 nt
Filed under: uncultured bacterium
Lineage: Bacteria
Description: partial 16S ribosomal RNA
Rfam family: Bacterial small subunit ribosomal RNA
Source: RNAcentral